CAUGCAAGUCGAACGGAAAUCUUUUAGAUUUUAGUGGCGAACGGGUGAGUAACACGUAAGCAACCUGCCUUUAAGACGAGAAUAACAAUUGGAAACAGUUGCUAAGGCUGGAUAGGAAAUAAAAAGGAAUCUUUUUAUCUUUAAAAGACCUUUUUCGGAAGGUAUGCUUAAAGAGGGGCUUGCGUCACAUUAGUUAGUUGGUAGGGUAAAGGCCUACCAAGACGAUGAUGUGUAGCUGGACUGAGAGGUUGAACAGCCACAUUGGGACUGAGACACGGCCCAAACUCCUACGGGAGGCAGCAGUAGGGAAUUUUCGGCAAUGGAGGAAACUCUGACCGAGCAACGCCGCGUGUACGACGAAGUACUUCGGUAUGUAAAGUUCUUUUAUUGAAGAAGAAACAAUAGUGGAAAAACUAUCUUGACGUUAUUCAAUGAAUAAGCCCCGGCUAACUAUGUGCCAGCAGCCGCGGUAAUACAUAGGGGGCGAGCGUUAUCCGGAAUUAUGGGGCGUAAAGGGUGCGUAGGCGGUUUAAUAAGUCUCUAGUUUAAUUUCAACGCUUAACGUUGUCCUGCUAGAGAAACUGUUUAACUAGAGUGAGAUAGAGGUAAGCGGAAUUCCAUGUGUAGCGGUAAAAUGUGUAAAUAUAUGGAGGAACACCAGAGGCGUAGGCGGCUUACUGGGUCUUUACUGACGCUGAUGCACGAAAGCGUGGGGAGCAAACAGGAUUAGAUACCCUGGUAGUCCACGCCGUAAACUAUGAGUACUAAGUGUCGGGGUUAAACUCGGUACUGAAGUUAACACAUUAAGUACUCCGCCUGAGUAGUACGUACGCAAGUAUGAAACUUAAAGGAAUUGACGGGAUCCCGCACAAGCGGUGGAUCAUGUUGUUUAAUUCGAAGAUACACGAAAAACCUUACCAGGUCUUGACAUACUCUGCAAAGCUAUAGAAAUAUAGUGGAGGUUAUCAGGGAUACAGGUGGUGCAUGGUUGUCGUCAGCUCGUGUCGUGAGAUGUUAGGUUAAGUUCUAAAACGAGCGCAACCCCUGUCGUUAAUUGCCAGCACGUUAUGGUGGGGACUUUAGCGAGACUGCCAAUGAAAAAUUGGAGGAAGGUGGGGAUUACGUCAAAUCAUCAUGCCCCUUAUGAUCUGGGCUACAAACGUGAUACAAUGGCUAUUACAAAGAGUAGCUGAAACGCGAGUUUUCGGCAAAUCUCAAAAAAAUAGUCUCAGUUCGGAUUGAAGUCUGCAACUCGACUUCAUGAAGUUGGAAUCGCUAGUAAUCGCGAAUCAGCAUGUCGCGGUGAAUACGUUCUCGGGGUUUGUACACACCGCCCGUCAAACCACGAAAGUGGACAAUACCCGAAAGCGACAGCCUAACUGCGUAAGC
RNAcentral lists this ribosomal RNA (1389 nucleotides) under Coconut palm phytoplasma. Its description in RNAcentral is "bacterial SSU rRNA". It matches the Rfam family "Bacterial small subunit ribosomal RNA". The record is from RNAcentral. Lineage: Bacteria; Bacillati; Mycoplasmatota; Mollicutes; Acholeplasmatales; Acholeplasmataceae.